UACGUAGGGGGCAAGCGUUAUCCGGAAUUACUGGGUGUAAAGGGAGAGUAGGCGGCAUGGUAAGUUAGAUAUGAAAGCCCGGGGCUUAACCUCGGGAUUGCAUUUAAAACUAUCAAGCUAGAGUACAGGAGAGGUAAGUGGAAUUCCUAGUGUAGCGGUGAAAUGCGAAGAUAUUAGGAAGAACACCAGUGGCGAAGGCGACUUACUGGACUGAAACUGACGCUGAGGCUCGAAAGCGUGGGGAGCGAACAGGAUUAGAUACCCUGGUAGUCCACGCCGUAAACGAUGAGUGCUAGGUGUCGGGGGGGAACCCUCGGUGCCGCAGCUAACGCAAUAAGCACUCCACCUGGGGAGUACGACCGCAAGGUUGAA
RNAcentral lists this ribosomal RNA (372 nucleotides) under uncultured bacterium. Its description in RNAcentral is "bacterial SSU rRNA". It matches the Rfam family "Bacterial small subunit ribosomal RNA", at positions 524 to 898 of the family's 1533-position model. The record is from RNAcentral.